RNAcentral lists this ribosomal RNA (966 nucleotides) under Triticum aestivum (bread wheat). RNAcentral describes it as "partial small subunit ribosomal RNA". Lineage: Eukaryota; Viridiplantae; Streptophyta; Magnoliopsida; Poales; Poaceae. The record is from RNAcentral.
AUGGACGCGGCGGCGCUCGACGACGUGAUCCGGCGGCUCCUGGAGGCGCGCGGCGGCCGGACGGUGCGCCCCGCGCAGCUCUCCGACGCGGAGAUCCGCCGCCUCUGCGCCGCCGCCAAGGACGUCUUCCUCAGCCAGCCCAACCUCCUCGAGCUCGAGGCCCCCAUCAAAGUCUGCGGGGACAUCCAUGGCCAAUAUUCUGAUCUUCUUCGAUUAUUUGAGUAUGGUGGUUUCCCACCGGAGGCGAACUAUUUGUUUCUGGGUGACUAUGUUGAUCGUGGCAAACAGAGUAUUGAAACGAUAUGCCUUCUCCUUGCUUACAAGAUUAAGUACCCGGAGAACUUCUUUCUCCUUAGGGGAAACCAUGAAUGUGCCUCUAUCAACAGAAUCUAUGGAUUCUUUGAUGAAUGCAAGAGGAGGUUCAAUGUUCGUCUCUGGAAGGUUUUUACUGACUGUUUUAACUGCCUUCCUGUGGCUGCACUUAUUGAUGACAAGAUCCUGUGCAUGCAUGGGGGUUUAUCACCUGAUUUAAAGAACAUGGACCAGAUACGUAACAUUGCCCGUCCUGUGGAUAUUCCGGACCAUGGUCUCCUCUGUGAUCUGCUAUGGUCAGACCCUGAUAAAGAUGUUGAUGGCUGGGGUGAGAAUGACAGGGGCGUGUCAUACACUUUCGGAGCUGAUAAGGUUGCAGAGUUCCUUGAGAAACAUGAUCUAGAUUUGGUCUGCAGGGCUCACCAGGUGGUGGAGGAUGGAUAUGAAUUCUUUGCAAAGCGUCAGCUCGUAACCAUAUUCUCUGCACCCAACUAUUGUGGCGAGUUUGACAAUGCUGGUGCCAUGAUGAGCAUAGAUGAUUCACUAACAUGCUCAUUCCAGAUCCUUAAGCCUUCUGAUAAGAAAGGGAAAGCUGGAACCGGCAACUCAAAACCUGGAACACCGCCUAGGAAGAUAAAGAUUAAUAUUAUUUAG